RNAcentral lists this long non-coding RNA (959 nucleotides) under Homo sapiens (human). RNAcentral's name for it is "non-protein coding lnc-BPY2C-15:1". Lineage: Eukaryota; Metazoa; Chordata; Mammalia; Primates; Hominidae. The record is from RNAcentral.
UCCACCUUUCUCCCCAUGUCUGACGUGUUGAGUCAAAAUAAGCUGCACAGAAAGCUACACAGAAUGUUGAAGGAUUGGGGUGUACAGGGUACACUCAAGACACAAAUUCAAAACCAGCUAAUUCAUGAGUUGAUGCACCUUGUAUUGAAUGGAGAAUAGUAGCUUCAGUCCAUUUCAAUGCAAGGGAACUCCCUCUUACUAAAAGCCUCUAACUCUUUAGUGGCCGAUCACCAACAAAGAUGUGGCUAUGAGUCUUCGCUUUCUGUUUUCUUUCCAGAAAUUGGUUUGGCAAAAUAAAAGGUAAUCUGGCAAUCUUCAGCUUAUUGAUGAUCAAUUGCAGAUGCUUAUCCUCAGCAUAUAAAGUUUGAGUCUCUAGAAAUAAAGCUAAAUGAAGAUACGGAGAAAUAGAAAAGCAACUUCUGACAGGAAUGUGUCAAAAGUUGAAGUUUUUUAAUGGAAGUGGUAAGAGAGUAUGCAAAUGAAUUAGCUAUGUUCUGAAGUGAUUUGGAGAAGAUUUGUCAAGCAGAAUCUGAAAGCCUCAUUCUUUAUAGAAAGAGUAUCUUUGAGAGAAACCAAAAGCACCAAGAGAUUGAAACAAGAAAAUUGAUGCUCAAGGCUUCUUUUACUAAAAGAUAUGGAUUUGUUAAGAGAAAGAAAAGCAGAGCUGAAGCAGAGAGUUGAAGAUUUUGAACUGAACCCAGAAACUCCAGCAAGAAAAACCUAAAAGCAUGACUGAGGACUUAGGAGAUGGGAGCAGAAUACAAAGUGUCUUGAUGAGACCUAUGACCGAAAGCUAAAAAACAAACUUCUAAAGUAUCAACUUGAAUUAAUGGAUGACUACAUCAUUAGAACUAACUGACUGAUUGAAGAGCAAAGGAAGAAUAAAGGAAAAGCUGUUUACUUGCAAGAGGAGCUCAUAGUUAUUAAUCCAAAAAAGGAGGAACUCAAUCAAUCUGUAA